UCAAAGAUUAAGCCAUGCAUGUCUCAGUACAAGCCAAAUUAAGGUGAAACCGCGAAAGGCUCAUUAAAUCAGUUAUGGUUCCUUAGAUCGUACCCACAAUUACUUGGAUAACUGUGGUAAUUCUAGAGCUAAUACAUGCAAACAGAGCUCCGACCGGAGACGGAAGGAGUGCUUUUAUUAGAUCAAAACCAAUCGGUGGCGAGUUCGCUCGUUAUCGUACAACUUGGUGACUCUGAAUAACUUUACGCUGAUCGCACGGUCAUCGCACCGGCGACGCAUCUUUCAAAUGUCUGCCUUAUCAACUGUCGAUGGUAGGUUCUGCGCCUACCAUGGUUGUAACGGGUAACGGGGAAUCAGGGUUCGAUUCCGGAGAGGGAGCCUGAGAAACGGCUACCACAUCCAAGGAAGGCAGCAGGCGCGCAAAUUACCCACUCCCGGCACGGGGAGGUAGUGACGAAAAAUAACGAUACGGGACUCAUCCGAGGCCCCGUAAUCGGAAUGAGUACACUCUAAACCCUUUAACGAGGAUCAAUUGGAGGGCAAGUCUGGUGCCAGCAGCCGCGG
Molecule: ribosomal RNA, 564 nt
Filed under: Trigonopterus costatulus
Lineage: Eukaryota; Metazoa; Arthropoda; Insecta; Coleoptera; Curculionidae
Description: SSU rRNA
Rfam family: Eukaryotic small subunit ribosomal RNA
Source: RNAcentral